AUACGGAGGGUGCAAGCGUUAAUCGGAAUUACGGGGCGUAAAGCGCGCGUAGGCGGAUUGUUAAGUCUCAUGUGAAAGCCCUGGGCUCAACCUGGGAACUGCAUGGGAUACUGGCAAUCUAGAAUACAGUAGAGGGUAGUGGAAUUUCAGGUGUAGCGGUGAAAUGCGUAGAGAUCUGAAGGAACAUCAGUGGCGAAGGCGACUACCUGGACUGAUAUUGACGCUGAGGUGCGAAAGCGUGGGGAGCAAACGGGAUUAGAAACCCUAGUAGUCC
RNAcentral lists this ribosomal RNA (274 nucleotides) under uncultured bacterium. Its description in RNAcentral is "partial 16S ribosomal RNA". It matches the Rfam family "Bacterial small subunit ribosomal RNA", at positions 523 to 796 of the family's 1533-position model. The record is from RNAcentral.